RNAcentral lists this long non-coding RNA (606 nucleotides) under Rhinopithecus bieti (black snub-nosed monkey). Its description in RNAcentral is "lncRNA (ENSRBIG00000046510.1)". Lineage: Eukaryota; Metazoa; Chordata; Mammalia; Primates; Cercopithecidae. The record is from RNAcentral.
AAAAGUGAUUUCUUCGUUUUAAUAUGUCACGUUACAUAUAUACUCUCAUAAAGAAACUUUCUCAUUCUUUUCAGCCGAAAUCUUUUAUCAACAUUGCCAAAAUACCUAUUUGAUCUUCCCCUUAAAGUUUUGGUCGUCAGUAAUAAUAAACUAGUAUCCAUUCCGGAAGAAAUUGGGAAGUUAAAAGAUUUAAUGGAGUUGGAUAUUAGCUGCAAUGAGAUUCAAGUCCUUCCCCAACAAAUGGGAAAAUUACAUUCACUUAGAGAGCUAAAUAUAAGAAGAAAUAAUCUUCAUGUUUUGCCAGAUGGUAAGAUGUUCACUAUUUUUACUCACAUGAAUAAGAGAGUAACUAUGUAAAAUUUAAUUAAUUAUUUUUCAUUUCUGACCAGAAUUAGGAGAUCUUCCCUUAGUCAAGCUGGAUUUCUCUUGUAAUAAAGUGACCGAAAUUCCAGUUUGUUACAGAAAGCUGCAUCAUUUACAAGUAAUAAUUUUGGAUAACAAUCCAUUGCAAGUACCACCAGCACAGGUUUGUAAUAAAAAUAUUUUACAUGUUUCUUCUCAUUUUUAUUCAUAAUUUUAUCUGUUUGUGACUGGUAAAUCAAAAAG